This 1503-nucleotide unclassified non-coding RNA is filed under the name Hevea brasiliensis (rubber tree). The record is from RNAcentral. Lineage: Eukaryota; Viridiplantae; Streptophyta; Magnoliopsida; Malpighiales; Euphorbiaceae.
AUUUAUGAGAGGUCCGAGCUGCCUUUUAGGGUUGAGAUAGGUCCAAUCCAUUUUCUCUACAUGGUAUCGCAGCCUACCCUUGCCUUGAUGUUGAGCCACUCGCAGAUAUUCAUUCCUGCAAAUUUUACGCCCUAAAAGUUCAUGUGUAGACAUAAGAAGGCGUGUUGUUCCACUUUGAUUUGGGAUAAGGUAAGAGUUCUAAACAUAGAUACUUAGACAAUUCUCCCCAUUAGGCUAGCUUUUGGGGUGAGUUAGGCUCGACCCAUUUUCUUAAUAUGGGAUAAGAGUCUCCUCAAUCGAUAUUGGGUUUUCUAUAAGUGUUUCACGCUCUAGGUGUUCGUUUCUCAGCGCGAGGGGGUUUGUUAAUAUCCCACAUCAGUUUGAGAUAGGGGUAAUGUACCUCUUACAAAAACUUAGGCAAUCCUUGCCCCUUGAAUUAGAUUUUGGGGUUGAGUUAGGUGCAACCUAUUUUCUCUGUAAAAGGUUUGAAAACUUUAUAUUUUAGGAAAUGAAAAAUUUACUCGAAUGAGGUAAUACAUUGUUUCAUGGGUAAAUUAAAUGCUGGCAAUGCUUGCUUUGCUUGUUGAUUUUGUUAUUGCUAAAUAUUUAUAUUCCUAGAGAGUUUUGUUUUGUGGUUUUUCCCCUUUUUAUUCCUAAUUGGAACUAAAUAUUAGUCCAUUUCUCCUUAAUGAUACUGAUUCAAGCUUUUACUACUUUAGUUGAUGACAUAUUUUUCCGGGAAUUUACUUGAGUUGAUGAUGUUGUAAAAUUACUCUAGAGAUAAUCUUUGGGGAGUGUCUGUCCAUUUAACUAAUUGAAUAUCCUUCUUGAUUCAAUGGAAUUUUGUUUCAAAUUUCUCAUAUUUUAAUUUGGAAAUAUAUGUAUGAGUUGUAUCAUGCUGGUACAAGGAUUUGAGCUUACCUGAUGGUUUUCUGUACUUGUCAUGUUUUUGUUCUUGCCUUGUUCUCUUUUCUGAUCAUGUAUCCAUUUCUUUUUAAAAUUUGGGCUACAUAUCCUUUUUAUGAUCUUUUGGAGUAUAGUUGAGAUGAGACAAGGGUUAGCAAGAAUCAUUGGUUCAGACUACUUUCUCUGCAGAUGGGAUGAAAAGUUUAUUAAUGAUUUAAGCCUUUGAAUUCUAUGUAGUAGAAAGCUGCAUUUGCAACUAGGUCAGGGCCACCAGGCUGUAUUCUUCUUAAAGUUGGACCUUUGAAUUAUACAUUAAGCAAAAAAAUGAGUUGUAGUACAAUAGUCAUAAAGUGACUGAUGAUAUGAUCCAAUGAUUGAGGUGUUUAAUUCAUAGGAUUAUAUUGAGAUACGAAAGGAUGACUUGAGCAUUUUUAUGAAGCAUUUUUAUGAAACAUGUACUCCAUAUAUAUCAUACCAGAUAGAUAUCAUACUUGUUGGAUAUUUGUGGCCAUCGUUAGACAUAGUUUUUAUAAUAUGUUCCAUUUUCUGUUACUGCUCCAUAAGGGGAACAGUUUAAGAAUUUGAGGAUCUUAUAGA